Molecule: ribosomal RNA, 460 nt
Filed under: uncultured bacterium
Lineage: Bacteria
Description: partial 16S ribosomal RNA
Rfam family: Bacterial small subunit ribosomal RNA
Source: RNAcentral
CCUACGGGUGGCAGCAGUGAGGAAUAUUGGUCAAUGGGCGCGAGCCUGAACCAGCCAAGUAGCGUGAAGGAUGACUGCCCUACGGGCUGUAAACUUCUUUUAUAAAGGAAUAAAGUGAGGCACGUGUGCCUUUUUGUAUGUACUUUAUGAAUAAGGAUCGGCUAACUCCGUUUCAGGAGCCGCGGUAAUACGGAGGCUCCGAACGCUAUCCGGAUUUAUUGGGUUUAAAGGGAGCGUAGAUGGGUUGUUAAGUCAGUUGUGAAAGUUUGCGGCUCAACCGUAAAAUUGCAAUUGAUACUGGCAGUCUUGAGUACAGUUGAGGUGGGCGGAAUUCAUGGUGUAGCGGUGAAAUGCGUAGAUAUAACGAAGAACUCCGAUUGCGAAAGCAGCUUACUAAACUGCCACUGACAUUGAUGCUCGAAAGUGUGGGUAUCAAACAGGAUUAGAUACCCUAGUAGUC